UCCGGUUUGUCACCGGCAGUCUCCAAUGAGUCCCCGGCAUUACCCGCUGGCAACAUUGGACAGGGGUUGCGCUCGUUGCGCCACUUAAGGCAACACCUCACGACACGAGCUGACGACAGCCAUGCACCACCUGCACACCAGCCACAAGGGAACCGACAUCUCUGCCGGCGUCUGGUGCAUGUCAAGCCCAGGUAAGGUUCUUCGCGUUGCGUCGAAUUAAACCACAUACUCCACUGCUUGUGCGGGUCCCCGUCAAUUCCUUUGAGUUUCAGUCUUGCGACCGUACUCCCCAGGCGGAAUGCUUAAUGUGUUAACUUCGGCACCAAGGGUAUCGAAACCCCUAACACCUAGCAUUCAUCGUUUACGGCGUGGACUAC
RNAcentral lists this unclassified non-coding RNA (377 nucleotides) under uncultured bacterium. RNAcentral describes it as "contains 16S-23S intergenic spacer region". The record is from RNAcentral.